AGCUUGCACCAUAAUUAUGAAACAAUUUUUGCUUUCAAAUAUUUUAGCCUAGUUUGUGCUUGGGAGACAAUGAUAAAACAUUUCCUGGUGUCUUGGGGCUUGCAAUGUAGUUGGGGAAAACACAUUAAACAACUGAACUGUUAAGUGAUUUUAAAAAAAAGUAUAGGUGGCCUUGAGUAUCAAACCAAGACCCCAUUUAGUACGGAAUCAAAGUUGAUGUGUGGGAUAAAUUUAUCUGUGUCUGAGGGAUGGGGGUGGUGUGGGGGACAGUAAAACAGCAGAGAGUAUUCCAGAUAGGAUGAAUCUUUCAGCAAAAGUCCAUGAGGAGGAGGGAAUCCAGCAUAUCAAUAGAAAGAAGGCUGGAACUCAAGAAAAGGGAAGAUGUGGGCAGUGAGCUGGAGAAGGUAGCAAGGAAGAUCAUUGACUAUGUUAAAGGGAAAAGAACCAGUGGGAAAAGCGAAAGUCAUCAACUGCCUGGUUUACUUUAGUAAAACUACGGUUAUACUGUUCUAAUGUCUGAGAUUUGGAGUCAUGUUCAUAAGUCUACUCCAAGUAGACCUAUGCUCAAAAUCUAAAAUUUUAAGAAUCCUAAAAAUCCUUAGUUUCCAGUUCUAAUGUUCUAUGUAUAUCAUUUAGAGGGGGCAAAAAAUCAAUUACAAUUUGCCUAUAAUUCCAUUUUCAAGUAGAAAUCUGACUACUACAAAAAUAGCUAAGGGAUGGUCAGAAAGAAGUUUAUAUUUGGUAAGCAAUUUGGAUUAUUUAUAUAGUGUAGAACAGCUGGAACUUCCCCUAACAUUAAAUUUUAGAUCACUGUUUUAAUUUGUUGCUUCUGGAAUUAGUUAAAAAAUGUUUUACAGUGCUUGGGAUUGGACUCAGGUCCUCUUGAAUGCUAGGAAAGUUCUCUUACUGAGGUAUAGCCCCAGUCCCCAAAUUUAUUUUAAUAUAUGUUUUAAAUGUGACUAUCAUACUAUUAGUUCAUUUCAAAUUGUUACAUGUAUGGCUAAUUUAACAUUAAGGUGGCACUUUAUAUUUGCUAAUUACAACCGAUUACAUUUGGAGUUAAUGUAUUAUUGAGAUGAAUUUUCCCCAAAAGAAAUCAGUAUGUGGAAUAGUUAUAGAGCUAUUAAAAUAAAAACCAGAUUUUAUUUUCAAUUAAAAAGUAAGACUUUUGAAGUUCAAUCAACAAUAUUACAGUAUGUAAAUUAAGCAGGACUAGGAAAGGGGACUGGUUUUCCUGCUAACUAUGUCACAGAGCCAAUACUCCACAAUUUAUCUGCUCAAGCAAUCAGAGGAGGGGAGAAAUGCUCAACCAUAUUAUUUGCUCAUUUAGAAAAAGUAAUUUAAAGUAAGUUGUAACUUUAUGAGUAUGUUUUAUAAUUGGUCUGUUUCUUUUUCUCACUAAUUGGUCCUUCAUACUUUUCUAGGUCUUACAUGUCUCUAGGUUUAGGUCUCCCCCCUCCCCUUU
Molecule: long non-coding RNA, 1465 nt
Filed under: Marmota monax (woodchuck)
Lineage: Eukaryota; Metazoa; Chordata; Mammalia; Rodentia; Sciuridae
Source: RNAcentral